RNAcentral lists this long non-coding RNA (201 nucleotides) under Glycine max (soybean). Its description in RNAcentral is "long non-coding RNA (GMAX_LNC004137)". The record is from RNAcentral. Lineage: Eukaryota; Viridiplantae; Streptophyta; Magnoliopsida; Fabales; Fabaceae.
UUACUUCCAUAUUAAGCCCACUAAGGAACCUCGCUAUACUUGUCCUUUCCUCCUCCCUAAGUCCAGCUCUUAAAAAGAGUAGUUCCAUUUGUUGUCUGUAUUCUUCAACACUCAUACUCCCUUGUUUAAGCCUUUGGAGCUUGUCCAUAAGCUCCCUUUCAUAGUAGGGAGGAAUGUGCCUCUUCCUAAGGGCACUCUUAA